RNAcentral lists this ribosomal RNA (468 nucleotides) under uncultured bacterium. Its description in RNAcentral is "partial 16S ribosomal RNA". It matches the Rfam family "Bacterial small subunit ribosomal RNA", at positions 28 to 507 of the family's 1533-position model. The record is from RNAcentral.
GACGAACGCUGGCGGCGUGCUUAACACAUGCAAGUCGAACGGAAAGGCCCUGCUUUUGUGGGGUGCUCGAGUGGCGAACGGGUGAGUAACACGUGAGUAACCUGCCCUUGACUUUGGGGUAACUUCAGGAAACUGGGGCUAAUACCGGAUAGGAUCUCCUGCUGCAUUGUGGGGGUUGGAAAGUUUCGGCGGUUGGGGAUGGACUCGCGGCUGAUCAGCUUGUUGGUGGGGUAGUGGCUUACCAAGGCUUUGACGGGUAGCCGGCCUGAGAGGGUGAACGGCCACAUGGGGACUGAGAUACGGCCCAGACUCCUACGGGAGGCAGCAGUGGGGAAUAUUGCACAAUGGGCGGAAGCCUGAUGCAGCAACGCCGCGUGCGGGAUGACGGCCUUCGGGUUGUAAACCGCUUUCGCCUGUGACGAAGCGUGAGUGACGGUAAUGGGUAAAGAAGCACCGGCUAACUACGUG